Molecule: ribosomal RNA, 464 nt
Filed under: uncultured bacterium
Lineage: Bacteria
Description: partial 16S ribosomal RNA
Rfam family: Bacterial small subunit ribosomal RNA
Source: RNAcentral
GACGGACGCUGGCGGCGUGCUUAACACAUGCAAGUCGAACGGAACGGCCCAGCUUGCUGGGUGAUCGAGUGGCGAACGGGUGAGUCACACGCGGGUGAUCUGCCUCUAACUUCGGGAUAAGCUUGGGAAACUGGGUCUAAUACCGGAUAGGACAAUCGUUUAGUGUCGGUUGUGGCAAGUUUUUUCGGUUAGGGAUGAGCGCGCGGCCUGUCAGCUUGUUGGUGGGGUAAUGGCCUACCAAGGCGUCGAAGGGUAGCCGGCCUGAGAGGGUGGCCGGCCACAUUGGGACUGAGAUACGGCCCAGACUCCUACGGUAGGCAGCAGUGGGGAAGAUUGCACAAUGGGCGCAGGCCUGAUGCAGCGACGCCGCGUGGGGGAUGACGGCCUUCGGGUUGUAAACCUCUGUCGACUGGGACGAAGCGUUAGUGACGGUACCUGGAGAAGAAGCACCGGCUAACUACGUG